AGCGUCCGGUGAGGGUGGAGGGAGCCACGAGUUCUUUGCUAGGUGUGCGUGCAGCUCUUUGUGGUUCGGGUGGUGGUGCUGUGUCGGUGUCUUGGCUUUUCUCUUCGCACCCAUGCGGAGGACCUCAGGGUUUUCUGUCACCUCCCUGUCCCUUUAUGUUGUUGGUUGGGAGCGUCACCAUUGAGAAAGGGCGCCCUCCCAUCCCUGGCGGUGAGGCCGGGGAGUCCAGGGCUCUCCUUGGUCUUUGCUAAUGGGUUUGGAGGCAGUAAUUUUUGGAGCAACAAGUUUCGGAUUUAAGUCCCUUGGUGACAUUCUAAUACUGAGCCCUUACCACGUGUUAGGAACUAACUUAGGAAUGUUGGUUGUGGCAGUGAAUAAGUCAGACAAAAAUCCCUGCCCUAAGGGGCUUGCAAUUUAAAGAAAUUUGAAAAGUCGGUGGAAUGCAAAUGGAAAUAAAUCAGAAAAUAUUUUCUGUAUGGUUUGGAGGAAGAGGAAGCCAAGGGGAAUAAAAAAAAAAAAAGACGGUAAAGCGUUUUGGGGGGUUGGGGGAGUCCUAAAAUGUGCAGGGAUGUUGAUGUUUAUGGUCGCAAGACCCACCGCAUGAAAAUUACGAACGCAGUUAGGCAUUUAGGAUUAGUGAAUUUGUGCUCUUGCUAUAAGAUGCGUUUAUUUCUCUCUCUCUCUCUCUCUCUUUUUCAGAGGAAGACCAAAGACUAGGUUGUGGGAAAAGCAAAUAGAAGCCAUGUUUCGGAGACCUGUAUUACAGGUGUUUCAUCAGUUCGUAAGACAUGAGUCUGAAAUAGCCAGCAGCUUGGUUCUUGAAAGAUCUCUGAACCGUGUGCAGCUCCUUGGGCGAGUGGGUCAGGACCCCGUCAUGAGACAGGUGGAAGGGAAGAACCCGGUCACAAUAUUUUCUCUAGCAACGAAUGAGAUGUGGCGGUCAGGGGAGAGUGAAGUAUACCAAAUGGAUUUAGGUGAUGUCAGUCAAAAGACGACAUGGCACAGAAUAUCAGUAUUCCGACCAGGCCUCAGAGAUGUGGCGUAUCAGUAUGUGAAAAAGGGGUCCCGUAUCUAUGUGGAAGGGAAAGUCGAUUAUGGUGAAUACACAGAUAAAAACAAUGUGAGGCGACAGGCAACAACAAUCAUAGCUGAUAAUAUUAUAUUUCUGAGUGACCAGACCAAAGAAAAGGCAUAGAGUGGACGAUUCUUCUUUGGCCAUUGUUUGGUGAGGAAACCUGAAACUGCGUGGUUAAGUAACAUGUCAAAGUCAUGCAGCUUAUAAGAGGCACAGCUGGAGUUUGAGUGUAGUUAACUGUUGCUAAGGGGGUAGAAGCAGACGCCAUUUGGUGGUGCUUCCAGGAAAGCUCCUUAAAUGAUUAGCUCUGUUGGGAGGCUCAUCCUUUGUGCUUCUCCAGACCCUCACCUGGCUUUUUCUGGUCUGAAAUGUGGACAUGAUGGCUGAGAAUCUCCAGUAGCCAUUUUAGACCACAAGACUAUCUGCAGGAUGGAAGAUGGAAGAGGCUGGAGUCCGUGAUGACCAUGGAGCCACCAUCGCGGUCCUGGACAGUCUACCUCUGGACUUCUUUGGGAGACACAAAUAAAUCUCUACCUUGUUUAAGCCACUUAUUUGUGCUUUGCAUUUGAACCUAAUUCUUACUAAUUCACACAUUCUUUAUCUCCGUAUACACAAUUCAUUACUUCAGUUCUUUCUCUUCUAAGACCAUUCACUACUGGUAGAAGUAAAAUAUCACGUCUACUGCCACAGUCUCUCAGACUUUUAACCUAGGUCUCAUUCUUAAUUUGGGGAGGGACUGGGACAUAAAAUGUACGCGGAUCCUUAGCAAAUACCUUAAAAAGGGUAAAUACAAACUUUUUUUUCAUCAAAUAGUUUAAUUUUGCCUGAAGCCUGAAAUGAGGACCCUUAGUUAACAGCCCCUUGUUUACUAAAGUAGCACAUAAAUAAGAACAGAAGUACUGACCUUCUGCUUCUGACAGUAUAGCAGACGAGCUAAUCUGGAGUGAGGAGGUGUCCCACUGCAAAAUAACCAGAUCCUAAGUAUGACAUAGUUUUUAUUGCAUUCUAGGGAAUCUUAAGUUCGGGCUGCCAUAACAAAAUACCAUAGAGUGGGUGAUUUAAACAACAGACGUUUUUGCGAUUCUGGAGGCUAGAAGUCUCAGAACAGGGUGCAGGAUGGUUGGUUUCCUGGGAGGCCCGUGUUGCUGGCUUACAAGUGGCUACCACCUCACCGUGUCCUCACAUGGCCUCCUAUUUGUGCUGGCAGAGCGUGGACUCUCUGGUGUCUCUUAUAAGGACACUAAUGCAGUUGUGUCAGGGCCCCAUCCUUAUGGCCUGGGUUCACUUUAUCUUCUUACUGGCCCUAUCUCAAAAUGUAGUCACAUUGGGGAUUAGACUUCUAUAUGUGAAUGUUGAGUGGACACAGUUCAAUCUGUAGCAUUGGCUUGCAGGAAGAAAGGGACUUCUUCAAGUGACAGGUUCUAAACUAAACGGAAACGAGCAUAAGUAGACAACACACUGAAAAAAGGGAGUUCCCUGAUGACCUGCUAAUAUUGACAUCGUGGUUUGGAGAUAAAAACAAAGGAUAUGUGUCAAAGCUGUGCCUCAAACAGACUUGAAAUUAGAAGAGCAUUUUUCGUAAAAUGAAAAAGGCAAGGAUGUCUUAUCACUACUUCUCUUGGACAGGUUGUUUGUACUGAGGCUUUAGCAAGCAUAGUUGGGAAGGAAAGAAAACGUAUUAAGAUGGAAAGGAAGAAAGUUACAAAUGCCGUGAUUACACAGAAACCAUGAAAGAAAAGAAUCUGUAGAUGAAUAAUUAAAAGUUGCUGGAAAUAAGAUCAGUUUACAAAAGUCAACUGCAAACAGCAGUGAAGAUGCCAUGUACAAGAGCAUCAGAAAAUGAGUCUUCCAAGAGUGUGGUCUCUGUGGAGUACAUUAUGAAACUUGAUUGAAAUACGUUAAAAGAAGACUAAACACAUUGGUAGAUCAUGUUUAUUGUAAGCAUCAAUCAUGUAAAGAUCUCAACCCUCCCCCACAUUGAUGUUACAGAUCAAAACAAAAAUUCCCAGUUUCUUGGGGACAACUGGACAAGUUGACUCUAAAGAUGCGUUGAUACGCAAAGGUCCAAGAUCACACAACAUACUUCUGAAGAAGAGUGAGAUGGGGGACUUGCUCUGCCAGUUGGCAAGCCUUUUUAGAAUGAAAGCUAUAGUGAUAAAAAACUGUUCUAUGGAUACAGGAAUAAACAGGGCAGUGGUGUAGCAAAGAGAACCCAGAAACAGACCAUGCACAUGUAGAAAAGGAUAAAAGUGGCAUAGAUCAGUGGGUCUAGAUUGUUUCAAUUAUGCCAGGGGGAUUUGUUAUCCAUGCAGAAGAAAAUGAAAUCAGAUAUGUACACCUUAUGCAAAGAUCAAUUCUUGGUGAUUUAAAGACAUAUGUGAAAGGCAAAAUGUUAAAAAUUUUGGAAGAAACUAUAAUACAAUGUCUUUAUGAUCUGGUGGCAUAGAAAUUUUCUCUUUUAAACAAAAAUGUAAAUACAGAGAAGAGGGAUACAUUUAACUGUUAAAAAUAACUUGUUUAUAGAAAGUCACUGGAAAGAAAGCAAAAUGACAAGUCACAAACUGGAGAGAAGAUAUUUGCAAUCAUAUAACUGAAAUAUAACU
Molecule: RNA transcript, 3678 nt
Organism: Panthera uncia (snow leopard)
Lineage: Eukaryota; Metazoa; Chordata; Mammalia; Carnivora; Felidae
Gene: SSBP1
Gene name: single stranded DNA binding protein 1
Exons: 8
Source: RefSeq, a predicted model, not a curated record